GUCCCUCUGGCUCUAACUUGACCGCCACCUCCGUCUGCUCCUCCGCCAGCGCCGCCAUCUUGCGGCUGAGCCACCUCGCGCCGUCAAGCGUGAUUGCGUUUUCACCACAUGGAGGGCGGGGAGGAGCGUUUUACGACACAUUGGGAAGGCACUAUACGGCAGUAGGAGGGGCGAGAAGGGAGGAGAAAAAGAACAGGAGCGAGAGCAGUUUUCGAAAGCGAGUGACAGAAAGGCAGGAAGUGGGAGGUGGCGACCGCCUGUAACAUUUGACUGUGACUCAACCGGGACCCAAAGAGGUUAAACAACUUACUUGCCACAGUCACGCAGGAAGAAAGUGAAAGCGUCAAGAUUCGAAUCCAGGUCUCUAACUCAGAAGCAUAUCCCAUAGCCAGAAGAAGUCUUCUGAGAUACUGGGUCUACCUUUCAACUACCUUUGUCUCUUAAGUGCAAAAAAGUGUGGAUUGGGACUUCAGACAAGGUUACUUCAAAUAGAUUGGUUUUCCUGUUAUGCCACAAUAGAGAUAAGUAUAUUGAGUAACUGCAAGGCCCACUUUUAAUUUUUGUUGCUCUUUUCCCCUGUCUUUUUAAUCCCUACUCCCAUUCUUCUAUUCUCUUCCUGGGAUGUUUUAAGAAGUCUAGUGUCAAUCUGUAUCUUUUUCCUUUACAGAAGAGCUACUCUUUCUCUCUGAAUGUUUCUUUUUCUUCUUCCAUGUUAUUUCAUUUUACUUUAAUGUAAAGUAAAGUAAACAUAAAGCCACUGGUGGCUCAGUGGUUGAGCGUCUGCCUUCCGCUCAGGGUGUGAUCCCAGGAUCCAAGGAUCGAAUCCCACUUCGGGCUCCUUGCAGGGAGCCUGCUUCUCUCCCCCCCCCCCCCCCGCCCCCAUGAAUAAAUAAAUCUUUUUUUAAAAGUCUAUCUCCCUGAAAGCUUGUUUCUACCCACUUUUUCUUCCUUUGAUAAUAUCUGUAUUCCAGCCUUUAACAAAUAUCAUCAUUUUUCCUACAAAAAUAAGCCACAUCAUAGAAAGGAGAACAAAGAAAAACUAUAUUAAUCCCAAUACUCUAACAUAACAUGGAUAUCAUUGUGUCACUAUUUUUUUCACAAUUGUAACCAUAUGUAUUUCUAUCAUGUUAUUAUAGCCUUCAUAACCAUCAUUUUAAUGAUUGCACAGAAUUCUAACAGAGACAGUCAUAAUUUUUCAUGACUUAUUUAAUCAUUUCCUCACUGAAAAAUAUUUAAAUUAUGCCCCAAUCAUACCAUAAACAAUGAUAAACUACUUUUUCAUUUAUUUCUUAGGUAGAGACUCCCAGAGCAGGAUUGCUAAAAGAUAAAAAGGUGUAAACACUUUUCAAAGUCUUGAUAUAUGGGGGAUCCCUGGGUGGCUCAGCGGUUUAGCACCUGCCUUCGGCCCAGGGCGUGAUCCUGGAGUCCUGGGAUCAAGUCCCAUGUUGGGCUCCCUGCAUGGAGCCUGCUUCUCCCUCUGCCUGUGUCUCUGCCCCUCUCUCUCUCUCUCUCUCUCUCUCUCUCUCUCUCUUUCUGUCUCUCAUGAAUAAAUAAAAUCUUAAAAAAAAAAAACCUUGAUAUGUGUUAACAAGUUGCUUUGUUUAAAGUUGUACUAAUUAAACUGUCCUUAGCAAUAAGAGGGCCUAUUUUCAUGGCAUCCUUAUGUUUCAUUGUUUACCAUUGCUUAAAAUAAAAUAAUAAGUUGUUUCAAAUGUGACCAAAAUGUAAAUGUUUAUACCUUGAGACCCACCAAUUCCAAUGCUAGAAUUAUGGAAAUAAUCUGGUAAGCAUGUGCAAGGAUCUCCACUAUAGACUAUGACAGUGUGAUA
Long non-coding RNA from Canis lupus familiaris (dog), 1829 nucleotides. RefSeq lists it as uncharacterized. The transcript has 3 exons. NCBI's taxonomy places the organism in Eukaryota, Metazoa, Chordata, Mammalia, Carnivora, Canidae. The record is from RefSeq and is a predicted model, not a curated record.